This 422-nucleotide ribosomal RNA is filed under the name uncultured eukaryote. RNAcentral's name for it is "bacterial SSU rRNA". It matches the Rfam family "Eukaryotic small subunit ribosomal RNA", at positions 592 to 1018 of the family's 1831-position model. The record is from RNAcentral.
CAAUAGCGUAUAUUAAAGUUGUUGCAGUUAAAAGCUCGUAGUUGGAUUUCUGGUUGGAGCGACCGGUCGGGCAUUGAUUUGUCUGCACUGGAGUCGGUUCUGGCCAUCCUCUUGGAAAGUGCGUCUGUCAUUAAGUUGUCGGGCGUAUGAUCCAGGUCUUUUACUGUGAAAAAUUAGAGUGUUUAAAGCAGGCCUUCGCCUUGAAUACAUUAGCAUGGAAUAAUAAGAUAGGACUUUGGUCUAUUUUGUUGGUUUGCAGACCGAAGUAAUGAUUAAUAGGGAUAGUUGGGGUGCUUGGUAUUCAAUUGUCAGAGGUGAAAUUCUUGGAUUUAUUGAAGACCAACUUCUGCGAAAGCAUUGCACCAGGACAUUUUCAUUAAUCAAGAACGAAAGUUAGAGGAUCGAAGACGAUCAGAUACCAU